This 503-nucleotide ribosomal RNA is filed under the name uncultured bacterium. Its description in RNAcentral is "bacterial SSU rRNA". It matches the Rfam family "Bacterial small subunit ribosomal RNA", at positions 1 to 507 of the family's 1533-position model. The record is from RNAcentral.
ACGAGUUUGAUCCUGGCUCAGGAUGAACGCUAGCGGCAGGCUUAAUACAUGCAAGUCGAACGGGAUUUAGGAGCUUGCUUCUAAUGAGAGUAGCGCACGGGUGAGUAACACGUACACAAUCUACCUUGUACAGGGGGAUAGCCUUGGGAAACUGAGAAUAAUACCCCAUAGUUUUUCGGGAUCGCAUGAUUUUGGAAAUAAAGCUGAGGCGGUACAAGAUGAGUGUGCGGAUGAUUAGGUAGUUGGUAGGGUAACGGCCUACCAAGCCGACGAUCAAUAGCUGGCGUGAGAGCGCGACCAGCCACACUGGAACUGAGACACGGUCCAGACUCCUACGGGAGGCAGCAGUAGGGAAUAUUGGACAAUGGGCGGAAGCCUGAUCCAGCCAUGCCGCGUGGAGGAUUAAGGCCCUCUGGGUUGUAAACUCCUUUUAUCUGGGAAGAACCAUUUCGACUUGUCGAAACAUGACGGUACCAGAGGAAUAAGCACCGGCUAACUCCGUG